Molecule: unclassified non-coding RNA, 400 nt
Filed under: soil metagenome
Description: partial contains 5.8S ribosomal RNA, internal transcribed spacer 2, and large subunit ribosomal RNA
Rfam family: 5.8S ribosomal RNA (bases 1-122)
Source: RNAcentral
GAUGAAGAACGCAGCGAAAUGCGAUACUUGGUGUGAAUUGCAGAAUCCCGUGAACCAUCGAGUCUUUGAACGCAAGUUGCGCCUCAAGCCAUUAGGUUGAGGGCACGUCUGCCUGGGCGUCACAGAUCGUUGCCUGAUGCCAGUUUCCUCGUGAUGGGUGACUGUGCAGGGCGAAUGAUGGCUUCCCGUGAGCAUUGUUGCCUCAUGGUUGGUUGAAAAUUGAGUCCUUGGUAGGGAGCGCCGUGAUAGAUGGUGGUUGAGUGACGAACGAGACCCAAUCAUGUGAGACCCCUACCGAAUUUGGCCUUCAUGACCCACAUGCGUCUUUGGAACGCUCAUGACGAGACCUCAGGUCAGGCGGGGCUACCCGCUGAGUUUAAGCAUAUCAAUAAGCGGAGGA